GACGAACGCUGGCGGCGCGCUUAACACAUGCAAGUCGAACGGAAAGGCCUGCUUUCCCUUGUGGAUUGCGGGUACUCGAGUGGCGAACGGGUGAGUAACACGUGAGUGAUCUGCCCCCAACUUGGGUAUAAGCCUGGGAAACUGGGUCUAAUUCCCGAUAGGACUGCAGGGUGGUGCCUGUGGUGGAAAACGAUUUUCUAGUGGUUGGGGAUGAGCUCGCGGCCUAUCAGCUUGUUGGUGGGGUAAUGGCCUACCAAGGCGGCGACGGGUAGCCGGCCUGAGAGGGUGGACGGCCACAUUGGGACUGAGAUACGGCCCAGACUCCUACGGGAGGCAGCAGUGGGGAAUAUUGCACAAUGGGCGGAAGCCUGAUGCAGCGACGGCGCGUGGGGGAUGACGGCCUUCGGGUUGUAAACUCCUUUCGACCGCGAGGAAGCCACCUGGUUGGAAGGGUGGUGACGGUAGUGGUAGAAGAAGCACCGGCUAACUACGUG
RNAcentral lists this ribosomal RNA (494 nucleotides) under uncultured bacterium. RNAcentral's name for it is "partial 16S ribosomal RNA". It matches the Rfam family "Bacterial small subunit ribosomal RNA", at positions 28 to 507 of the family's 1533-position model. The record is from RNAcentral.